Molecule: ribosomal RNA, 398 nt
Filed under: uncultured bacterium
Lineage: Bacteria
Description: bacterial SSU rRNA
Rfam family: Bacterial small subunit ribosomal RNA
Source: RNAcentral
AAGCUCUAUCAGCAGGGAAGAAAAUGACGGUACCUGACUAAGAAGCCCCGGCUAACUACGUGCCAGCAGCCGCGGUAAUACGUAGGGGGCAAGCGUUAUCCGGAUUUACUGGGUGUAAAGGGAGCGUAGACGGCAGCGCAAGUCUGGAGUGAAAUCCCAUGGCUUAACCAUGGAACUGCUUUGGAAACUGUGCAGCUAGAGUGCAGGAGAGGUAAGCGGAAUUCCUAGUGUAGCGGUGAAAUGCGUAGAUAUUAGGAGGAACACCAGUGGCGAAGGCGGCUUACUGGACUGUAACUGACGUUGAGGCUCGAAAGCGUGGGGAGCAAACAGGAUUAGAUACCCUGGUAGUCCACGCUGUAAACGAUGAUUACUAGGUGUUGGGGGACCAAGGUCCUUCG